RNAcentral lists this ribosomal RNA (454 nucleotides) under uncultured bacterium. RNAcentral's name for it is "bacterial SSU rRNA". It matches the Rfam family "Bacterial small subunit ribosomal RNA", at positions 917 to 1382 of the family's 1533-position model. The record is from RNAcentral.
GGGCCCGCACAAGCAGCGGAGCGUGUGGUUUAAUUCGAUGCAACACGAAGAACCUUACCAAGGCUUGACAUGCUGGAAGUAGCGAACCGAAAGGGGAGCCACCUGUUAAGUCAGGAGCCUGCACAGGUGCUGCAUGGCUGUCGUCAGCUCGUGCCGUGAGGUGUUGGGUUAAGUCCCCCAACGAGCGUAACCCCUGUUGCCAGUUGUCUUCUCUGGCGAGACUGCCCCGCAAAACGGGGAGGAAGGUGGGGAUGACGUCAAGUCAGCACGGCCCUUAUGCCUUGGGCUACACACACGCUACAAUGGACGGUACAAUAGGUUGCAAUGGAGCGAUUCGGAGCUAAUCCUAAAAGCCGUUCUCAGUUCGGAUUGCAGGCUGAAACCCGCCUGCAUGAAGUCGGAGUUGCUAGUAACCGCAAGUCAGCAAAUUGCGGUGAAUACGUUCUCGGGCCUU